This 398-nucleotide unclassified non-coding RNA is filed under the name Hevea brasiliensis (rubber tree). Lineage: Eukaryota; Viridiplantae; Streptophyta; Magnoliopsida; Malpighiales; Euphorbiaceae. The record is from RNAcentral.
AGCCGGUCGUAUGGCUAUACGGUACAAUUAUUGGUGAACAGCUAAAUAGCAAUGUCCAAUGUAAGCAUUGAACAGUUUUUAUAUGGUGAAAACUAAAAGUAGAGGCAUUAAUUUAACAUGGGUGACCAAAUUCGCAUUUUUAAUAUUAACUCAUGGCUACAGAAAAUGGACUGAUAAUUUACACCUCAUUAUUGAAUAGACAGAUUACAGCAAUUAAAAAUGAACUCCAGAAAAGUACAUACACAACUCAAAAUAGGAGGAGAGAAGUCAUUAAUGAUAAGCAAGCAUAUUGACACACAAUACUGAAGAGACCUAUCUCUUAUGUAUUUCAUGCACUCAUGGCCCAUGCAUAUCUCCACGGGAAUCAACCGAAUAAAAGUAGUACUUUUUUUUUUUUU